Molecule: ribosomal RNA, 435 nt
Filed under: uncultured bacterium
Lineage: Bacteria
Description: partial 16S ribosomal RNA
Rfam family: Bacterial small subunit ribosomal RNA
Source: RNAcentral
AGCGAACGCUGGCGGCAGGCUUAACACAUGCAAGUCGAGCGGGCACUUUCGGGUGUCAGCGGCGGACGGGUGAGUAACGCGUGGGAACGUGCCCUCUGGUUCGGAAUAACUCAGGGAAACUUGAGCUAAUACCGGAUACGCCCUUUUGGGGAAAGGCUUGCUGCCGGAGGCUCGGCCCGCGUCUGAUUAGCUAGUUGGUGAGGUAACGGCUCACCAAGGCGACGAUCAGUAGCUGGUCUGAGAGGAUGAUCGGCCACACUGGGACUGAGACACGGCCCAGACUCCUACGGGAGGAAGCAGUGGGGAAUAUUGGACAAUGGGCGCAAGCCUGAUCCAGCCAUGCCGCGUGAGUGAUGAAGGCCUUAGGGUUGUAAAGCUCUUUUAUCCGGGACGAUAAUGACGGUACCGGAGGAAUAAGCCCCGGCUAACUUCGUG